Molecule: ribosomal RNA, 274 nt
Filed under: uncultured bacterium
Lineage: Bacteria
Description: partial 16S ribosomal RNA
Rfam family: Bacterial small subunit ribosomal RNA
Source: RNAcentral
AUACGGAGGGUGCAAGCGUUAUGCGGAUUUAUUAGGUUUAAAGGGUGUGUAGGCGGUAUUUUAAGUCAGUGGUGAAAUCUCGGAGCUUAACUUCGAAACUGCCAUUGAUACUGGAAUACUUGAGUAUAGUUGAGGUAGGCGGAAUAUGUAAUGUAGCGGUGAAAUGCAUAGAUAUUACAUAGAACACCGAUUGCGAAGGCAGCUUACUAAACUAUUACUGACGCUGAUGCACGAAAGCGUGGGGAGCGAACAGGAUUAGAAACCCUAGUAGUCC